AAAUGACUAGAUGAAUUGUCUGUUGCUCAAUCCUUAGCUAAUAUCCUGUGUUUCUUCUUUGAAAUAAUUUAAAAGUGAUAAAAUGGUAUACAGCUGUUACACACUUAUUUAUACUAUAACCUUCUGCAAUAGCCAGCAUUUUGCUCGAGCUACUGCGACUGCUGCUUCCAACAGGGAGAAGAUUUCUGAACAAUCACAAAUGGCGAUGAUCAAGGAGUUUGAACACAUUUAAUGUUUAGUUUUUUCUUUUAUUUUUAGUCGAAAGGCGUCGACCAAGGAGUAGUUCAAAGCGUGAAGACACUUAAUGUAUUAUUUUUCCUUUUUCAUGUGUAAAUGCAUAUAAUGGCAAUAAAUAAGAAAGUAUUGGGCAGUGUAUUAGCUAAUUGACCAUAUAGUAAUGAAAGUAUUUAUAGUAUUUGUGUUGAGAAAUA
This is a non-coding RNA of Nicotiana tabacum (common tobacco), 431 nucleotides long. The record is from RefSeq and is a predicted model, not a curated record. Lineage: Eukaryota; Viridiplantae; Streptophyta; Magnoliopsida; Solanales; Solanaceae.